RNAcentral lists this unclassified non-coding RNA (756 nucleotides) under Hevea brasiliensis (rubber tree). Lineage: Eukaryota; Viridiplantae; Streptophyta; Magnoliopsida; Malpighiales; Euphorbiaceae. The record is from RNAcentral.
AAUCAGCACUCAUGACAACAGCUUCACCCAUGAGUGCUACGCUCAAUUCUCAGGCAGAGUUUGCAUAUGGCGCAGGCCAUGUGAACCCUCUUAAGGCAGUAGACCCAGGAUUGGUAUACGAUGCAAAUGAAAGCGACUACGUGAAAUUCUUGUGUGGUCAAGGUUACAACACCGCCAUGGUUCGACAUAUCACUGGCGACAAUAGUGCUUGCACUUCUGGCAACAUUGGAAGAGUGUGGGAUUUAAACUAUCCUUCUUUUGCACUUUCCACGGCAAGUCCGCAAACCACAGUCAAUCAAUAUUUCACAAGAACUCUAACAAACGUCGCACCGGGAGGAUAUACAUAUAGAGCAAGGAUUUUCGCCCCACAAGGCCUUCGUAUCACCGCGAAUCCUCCUAUGCUAUCAUUCAAUGGUAUUGGAGAUAGAAAAUCAUUCACGUUGAUAGUUCGAGGAACAGUGAACCGAAAAUCCAUAGUCUCUGCUUCUUUAGUUUGGAGUGACGGUGUACAUUCGGUCAGAAGCCCUAUAACAAUCGUUGUUCUCACUAAAAGUAUAACUUAAUUUUUCUUUUGAAAUAAUAAAGAUGAAUAAAGAAAUGAAAGUGUGUAGGAAGUAUAUAGAAUCUCUUUGCUUCCUUCCCGCUCUUUCAUUUGUUUGUCCGUUGCUUUCUAGUUAAGGGGGUGUCUGCUUGAAUAAGAUUGUGUGUGUACUGUCUUAAUAAUCAAUACUAUAUAUAUGAAUGAGGUUGCAUGGG